GCGGCGUUAGCUCAAUUGGAUAGAGCAUCUGGCUACGGACCAGAAGGUUGGGGGUUCGAGUCCCUCACGCCGCA
Molecule: transfer RNA, 74 nt
Filed under: Gemmatimonadota bacterium
Lineage: Bacteria; Pseudomonadati; Gemmatimonadota
Also listed under: 1 other name
Description: tRNA-Arg
Rfam family: tRNA
About the family: Transfer RNA (tRNA) molecules are approximately 80 nucleotides in length. Their secondary structure includes four short double-helical elements and three loops (D, anti-codon, and T loops).
Source: RNAcentral